This 465-nucleotide ribosomal RNA is filed under the name uncultured bacterium. RNAcentral's name for it is "partial 16S ribosomal RNA". It matches the Rfam family "Bacterial small subunit ribosomal RNA", at positions 339 to 795 of the family's 1533-position model. The record is from RNAcentral.
CUACGGGUGGCUGCAGUUAAGAAUCUUCCGCAAUGGACGAAAGUCUGACGGAGCGACGCCGCGUGGGUGAAGAAGGCCGAGAGGUUGUAAAGCCCUUUUCUGCUUGAGGAAUAAGCCUGGUAGGGAAUGACCGGGUGAUGACGGUAGGGCAUGAAUAAGCCCCGGCUAAUUACGUGCCAGCGAGCCGCGGUAACACGUAUGGGGCGAGCGUUGUUCGGAAUCAUUGGGCGUAAAGGGCGUGUAGGCGGAAAUGCAAGUCUGGUGUGAAAGACCGCAGCUCAACUGCGGGGACGCGCUGGAAACUGCAUAUCUCGAGUUCCGGAGGGGGAGUUGGAAUUCCUGGUGUAGGGGUGAAAUCUGUUGAUAUCAGGAAGAACAUCGGUGGCGAAGGCGAACUCCUGGAAGAGAACUGACGCUGAGGCGCGAAAGCGUGGGGAGCGAACAGGAUUAGAUACCCGAGUAGUC